AAACACCAUCAGCAACGGCUUCCACGCGCGCCACGCUCCACGCCCACGAACGACUUCUCCAUGCCAUACACACCUGCAACAGAAAAUAACCACAAGUAAUGGACAGCAAAUGACAGCAAAUGACAGCAAAUGACGGUGAUGAAAUUUGUAUUUUUUAUUUUAUUUCAUUUAUUUAUUUUUGUUUUUUCGGCUAUAAAACCGAAGGAAAACGAUGUAAAUCGGAUGGGGGGUUUUUUCCCAGAAAUAAGCACGCAUACACACUUGAUACACAAAUUGAAUCUUCAUUUUUUCUUUUGAAUCUGUUAUUUUUUUUUUUCUAGAUUUUGCAUGUGGUUCUUUUUUGCAUAAGAAAGUAAAGAAGGGAGAGCAUACCUUCAAAGAAGCCAUCGGAAGCCGUAUCUUCUUCUUUGAAAUUGACGCUAAUAGAAC
Molecule: long non-coding RNA, 429 nt
Filed under: Gossypium barbadense (sea-island cotton)
Lineage: Eukaryota; Viridiplantae; Streptophyta; Magnoliopsida; Malvales; Malvaceae
Description: long non-coding RNA (GBAR_LNC000177)
Source: RNAcentral